CCUACGGGCGGCAGCAGUGGGGAAUAUUGCACAAUGGGGGAAACCCUGAUGCAGCGACGCCGCGUGAGUGAAGAAGCGUUUCGGCGCGUAAAGCUCUGUCAGCGGGGAAGAAACACGGUUCGCGAGAGCCGCGGACGGUACCCGACCAAGAAGCCCCGGCUAACUACGUGCCAGCAGCCGCGGUAAUACGUAGGGGGCAAGCGUUAUCCGGAUUCACUGGGUGUAAAGGGAGCGUAGACGGCGAGACAAGUCUGGAGUGAAAGGCCGGGGCCCAACCCCGGGACUGCUCUGGAAACUGCCUGGCUGGAGUACAGGAGAGGUAAGUGGAAUUCCUAGUGUAGCGGUGAAAUGCGUAGAUAUUAGGAGGAACACCAGUGGCGAAGGCAGCCUGCCGGGGUGCGACUGACGCUGAGGCUCGAAGGUGCGGGUAUCAAACAGGAUUAGAUACCCCUGUAGUC
RNAcentral lists this ribosomal RNA (458 nucleotides) under uncultured bacterium. RNAcentral describes it as "partial 16S ribosomal RNA". It matches the Rfam family "Bacterial small subunit ribosomal RNA", at positions 338 to 795 of the family's 1533-position model. The record is from RNAcentral.